This is a long non-coding RNA of Nicotiana tabacum (common tobacco), 1332 nucleotides long. RefSeq lists it as uncharacterized. NCBI's taxonomy places the organism in Eukaryota, Viridiplantae, Streptophyta, Magnoliopsida, Solanales, Solanaceae. The record is from RefSeq and is a predicted model, not a curated record.
CCAUCCUAAAAUUCUAACCAGCUAGAUAACAAGUUGGCAAUUUCUUUUAAUAUAAAAAAUAUAUUACUGACAAUAGGGAUAUGUUAUCUGUUGGAUGUUCAGCCUUCAAGACAAAAGAGACUUAAGGUGAAGUGACCAACGGUUAAUAGAAUACUGCAUACGUUAGCUAGGCAUUUCUUUUAAAUAAAGUUUCAUAAACAAUGUGAAAUUAAGUUAUUUUUGAUGCAGUGUUUCCACUAAGAUGAAGAAGGAAAGCAACACCGUGGAAAGUGAAAAGAAGGCAUAUGUCAAAUGAAAAGGAGAUUUGGUGGCCAAUGAAAAACAUAAAAAUCAAAUGGAAGAAACCGAUGGUAUGGCAAAUGAAGGAAACAAAAUUGAUAAAUGUGUAAACGUGGAGAAGUCAAUUACAGGUGGUCAAAGGCGAAUGACUAAGAAAUUUAAUGGCCAAUAAGAUUUUUCCAAGUACAGCAUAUAAAUUCGACCAGUGAAAUGGGCCCAAGUGAAUUGUACAAUUGACGCUACUUUAGAUACUAAUUGUAUUGCCAGAGAUAAGUAAGGAUGCCAAUAAAUGUGGACGAGGCAAAGCUGCAACAACUCUUGCUAGCAGCUCGAACAGGAAAUUUGGAAUGUAAAUUUCCUUUGUUAUUCUCUACUUCCUCCUCUAUGAUUGAGGCUGUUGCGAGUGAGAACUGUCUUCACCAUAACAAUAACAUACAAACACAAACUUAAGGAGCAAAUGCAAUAUUGCGGAUCAUCUAAAGGAAGUUAGUAAGCUUGCCUAGGUGAAGGCUCAGGUUUCAAAAGUUAAAGGUGCCAUGAUGGAAAACAUUGAGAAGGUAGACUAUACUAACCUCCUUUUUGGAUUAUACUCCUUGAAAAGACUUGACUUCUUGCUUUUGAGACUGGAAAGACACAAAGAAACUGUAUGUGGCUGGUUAAUGUGAAUUAUGGCCAUGCACUGGUUCUUGAUCGAGGGGAGAAUAUGGAGCUUUGUCAUUGAAUCUGCCAUUACUUUUAUGCUUCUGUUCGGUUUUUAUACCACUUGAGAGAUAAUUCUUACAUCAAAAAGGUACGUUGGGUACCUUGCAUCUAACCUACAAAGUCACAACUGCUCCACUAUUAUAAGGUUACUCCAUCAUGGAAGAUAAAGUUUUAACUCUUUUCAUCCUCAAAGGUUUCCAUAUCAUGCACUUGAGAUUUCAAAUUGAUAGUUGCAUAUCGACAAAAUUGGGACUUGCAUCAGCUUUAGAAGGUGUAUUUAGUUUUCAAACUCACAAAUUUGGUUAUUUAUAGCUAAGGUGAUGGCACACAGAAUACCUUUGUAUAUUAGCC